This 25-nucleotide non-coding RNA is filed under the name Cricetulus griseus (Chinese hamster). The record is from RNAcentral. Lineage: Eukaryota; Metazoa; Chordata; Mammalia; Rodentia; Cricetidae.
AACUGACUCUAACAAGUGAUGAGUC